Long non-coding RNA from Lycium barbarum (goji berry), 634 nucleotides. RefSeq lists it as uncharacterized. The transcript is spliced from 2 exons. Lineage: Eukaryota; Viridiplantae; Streptophyta; Magnoliopsida; Solanales; Solanaceae. The record is from RefSeq and is a predicted model, not a curated record.
UUUUCCAAAGUUCAGGGGUAAUUUUGGCCCUUUUCCGAAAAAAAUAAUUAUUACAUUUAAUAUUGAACAUUUCCUUCUUUUUUUAAAAAGAAAAAAAAAUCUUUUCUCUUCUUCUUCCCUAUUUCUCUUUCAUCUUUUCACCACCUCCACACGUUCUCCUCCAACUCCUCCACCCACCACCUUUUUACUGUUGAUCAUAAGCUUUAUAAGCAUCAUCACUUAAAACAUAUCUUCAAUUUAGCAAAGCGGCUUAUCAAUUUGGAUAUUGAGGUGUUCAUAUGGCGAUGGGGCCUGAAAGAUAGAAGCCUUUACAUAAUUUUACCUUACCAUGUGGGUUGAAGUGGGAGAACCAGAAAUAUUUGAGGAGCACUAAGGUAGAUUCCGACAGAGAUAUGUCUUCUGUUCAUCGGAGGUCAAAUGGGUCAGAAUUGAUUGGACCGGAGGUGCGAACCUGCACCAAAAAUUCAGAUCAAUAAAUGGCGAUAGCGUGAGGGACGAAGCUGUGAGAGAGAAGCUGAUGUUUGAUCUCCAAACCAAGGCUGACAAGAUGAAACACCCGAUUUUGAGGGAAGGUUUAGGCCCCGUUUGUCCAUAAAUACCAAAAAAAAAAAAAAAAAACUUUUUUUUGAAAUUU